GACGAACGCUGGCGGCGUGCUUAACACACGCAAGUCGAACGGAAAGGCCCUGCUUUUGUGGGGUGCUCGAGUGGCGAAAGGGUGAGUAACACGUGAGUAACCUGCCCUUGACUUUGGGAUAACUUCAGGAAACUGGGGCUAAUACCGGAUAGGAGCUCCUGCUGCAUGGUGGGGGUUGGAAAGUUUCGGCGGUUGGGGAUGGACUCGCGGCUUAUCAGCUUGUUGGUGGGGUAGUGGCUUACCAAGGCUUUGACGGGUAGCCGGCCUGAGAGGGUGACCGGCCACAUUGGGACUGAGAUACGGCCCAGACUCCUACGGGAGGCAGCAGUGGGGAAUUUUGCACAAUGGGCGGAAGCCUUAUGCAGCAACGCCGCGUGCGGGAUGACGGCCUUCGGGUUGUAAACCGCUUUCGCCUGUGACGAAGCGUAAGUGACGGUAAUGGGUAAAGAAGCACCGGCUAACUACGUG
Molecule: ribosomal RNA, 468 nt
Filed under: uncultured bacterium
Lineage: Bacteria
Description: partial 16S ribosomal RNA
Rfam family: Bacterial small subunit ribosomal RNA
Source: RNAcentral